This 829-nucleotide long non-coding RNA is filed under the name Rhinopithecus bieti (black snub-nosed monkey). RNAcentral's name for it is "lncRNA (ENSRBIG00000045895.1)". The record is from RNAcentral. Lineage: Eukaryota; Metazoa; Chordata; Mammalia; Primates; Cercopithecidae.
UAAUUAUUUGAUCAUAAGAAAGGAGAGUCUGACUUUGUGGAAAAACACACAGUCAGUUUCAUUAGAAAAGAGAGAGUCAGACGUUUUUAAAACAACAACAACAAUAUGCCCUGAGUAGUAGAGAAACAGAAGAGCGAUUGAUCUACAAAGGCAAGACUCAGACGGAGACCACAGUGAACCUGCAAAAUAGAGGAGCCCCUGGGUGGGAGAGGAUAUAACUGGAACUCUGGGAAUGUAACGUGCAUGGUGUGCUCAUCUGACAGACAUGGCAGCUUAGGGGAAUGAGUCUCUGCAGCAUUGUAGUGAAGAGAGGAUACAGGACGACUGUAGAACCACAGCUCAGCCAAGACCCGAAGAAAACAAAAAAGUCCCACAAAGAUGUAGGAUCUCACUUUGCCUGCAUUAAUUCCCUGUCCUUUGCCCAGUUUCUCCUCUCUUGGAAGGCAGAGGCAGCUUCUGAUUUUGAUCACUUCGUGUCCAGAAUUCCAGAACUCUCUGACCGUAUAAUAAGUCCUGCUGACCUCCAGCCUCCUGGACAGAGUCUUUUGACCAUCCAUAAAAAACUUGUGAAAGACUUGCUGGUAAUGAAUGCUAUCUUAAAUGCUUUACAAACAUUAUUGAAUUUAAUCUUCACAAUUAACCUUUUGAGGACUAUUUGGUGAAUGAAGUGAGUUUUGAACUCAGGCUGACUUAGAUUGUACAAGCCCACAUUUCUACUCCUGCCUCAACCUCCCAAGUAUCUUUGACUACAGGUGUGCGUGUCACCAUGGCCCAGCUAAUUUUUGUAUUGCCCAGGAUGGUCUUGAACUCCUGGGCUCAAGCAUCCUCC